AUUAUGAUUGUUUGUUCCACAGGCUGCUUUGUACCGCCUUAGUGGAGACUGGAAUCCCUUACACAUCGACACUACCUUUGCUAGCAUGGCAGGUUUCAAGAAACCCAUAUUGCAUGGAUUGUGUACCUUUGGAUUUUCUGCAAGGCAUAUCUUACGGCGGUUUGCAGAAAACGAUGUGUCGAGGUUCAAGGCAAUUAAGGUUCGUUUUGCAAAGCCAGUGUAUCCUGGACAAACUCUGCAAACUGAGAUGUGGGAGGAAGGAAACAGAAUCCACUUUCAAACCAAGGUAUGAAGGAGAGAGCUUCAG
Non-coding RNA from Castor canadensis (American beaver), 307 nucleotides. NCBI's taxonomy places the organism in Eukaryota, Metazoa, Chordata, Mammalia, Rodentia, Castoridae. The record is from RefSeq and is a predicted model, not a curated record.